CCUACGGGAGGCAGCAGUAGGGAAUAUUGGACAAUGGGUGCGAGCCUGAUCCAGCCAUGCCGCGUGCAGGAAGAAGGCCUUCUGGGUUGUAAACUGCUUUUGCCGGGGGAUAAAAGACCCAUGCGUGGGGAAUUGAAGGUACCCGGUGAAUAAGCCACGGCUAACUACGUGCCAGCAGCCGCGGUAAUACGUAGGUGGCGAGCGUUGUCCGGAUUUAUUGGGUUUAAAGGGUGCGUAGGCGGCCCCGUAAGUCAGUGGUGAAAUACGGCAGCUCAACUGUCGAGGUGCCAUUGAUACUGCGGGGCUUGAGUACAGUCGAGGUAGGCGGAAUUGACGGUGUAGCGGUGAAAUGCUUAGAUAUCGUCAAGAACACCGAUAGCGAAGGCAGCUUGCUAGGCUGUAACUGACGCUGAGGCACGAAAGUGCGGGGAUCAAACAGGAUUAGAUACCCUGGUAGUCCGCACAGUAAACGAUGGUCACUCGGUGUUGGCGGUACACGGCCNGCGCUAGCGAAGACGUUAAGUAGACCGACCGUCGGGAGGUACGCCCGCCGAAGGGUAAGGUAAACGUUAAAGUUAAGUUAAGUAGUUACGGUUCGUAGAGACGCGACGACGGACGACGACGGAGGGAGGAGG
This 635-nucleotide ribosomal RNA is filed under the name uncultured bacterium. Its description in RNAcentral is "bacterial SSU rRNA". The stretch from base 1 to 533 matches the Rfam family "Bacterial small subunit ribosomal RNA", at positions 338 to 873 of the family's 1533-position model. The record is from RNAcentral.